AGAGAGAGACAUGCGCGCAUAUCAAUAAGCGGAGGAAAAGAAACUAACAAGGAUUCCCCUAGUAACGGCGAGUGAAGCGGGAAGAGCUCAAAUUUGAAAUCUUAAAGGGUUUCCCUUUACGAAUUGUAGUUUAAAGAAGUGUUUUCUGUUGAGGUUUUGGUAAAAGUUCUUUGGAAUAGGACAUCAUAGAGGGUGAGAAUCCCGUAUUUGACCUUUACUUUCAACUGUGUGAUACACUUUCAAAGAGUCGGAUUGUUUGGGAAUGCAGUCCAAAAUGGGUGGUAAAUUUCAUCUAAAGCUAAAUAUUGGCGAGAGACCGAUAGCGAACAAGUACCGUGAGGGAAAGAUGAAAAGAACUUUGAAAAGAGAGUUAAACAGUACGUGAAAUUGUCAAAAGGGAAGCGUUUGACACCAGUGUUGUUUUUCUGAAAAUCAAUUAAAGAACUGUUUAUGCUAAGUUGUUUAGACUUUAUCAGCUAACUGUUUAGUUUUGAGCUUUUCUUUAAUGCACUUUUCAGUUAACAAGUCAACAUCAAUUUCUUUUGCUGUAAAAAAGCUUGAGGAAGGUGGCUUGAGAUUCGUCUUAAGUGUUUAUAGCCUUUGGCCUCUGCAAUCGGAGAGAUUGAGGUCUGCAGCGUAGAUCCUUCGGGGUUAGAUAGCAUUUGUGCUAAGUUAUAGCCUUUCAUAGACAACUUGUUGACUAUGAUCAGUCAUGUAGCUUACUCGCUUAUGCUAUUUUACCUACGCUUAGGAUGUUGAGCGCAUGUCUCUCUCU
RNAcentral lists this ribosomal RNA (775 nucleotides) under uncultured Neocallimastigales. RNAcentral describes it as "partial large subunit ribosomal RNA". It matches the Rfam family "Eukaryotic large subunit ribosomal RNA", at positions 23 to 616 of the family's 3401-position model. Lineage: Eukaryota; Fungi; Neocallimastigomycota; Neocallimastigomycetes; Neocallimastigales. The record is from RNAcentral.